GGAUAAUUACUCUGAAUCUACCAGGCUGAUUAAGCCACAGCAGAUCAGCAGAAUUCAACUGUCCAGAUAGAAAGGUGGACAUGGAAAAAUUGGGCUUUGCAAAUGGUCACCCAAUUCUUGCCUUCCUGGUCUCCAGAUCACCCUUCCUAUACCGCCACUCUGGAGAAAGAAGUACAGAACGCUAACAAGGAUGGCUUGGAGUUGCAGUGGUCACCUCAGAUCUUAAGGUCACUUUGGAGAUGGAACCCCUGUGACUAGGAAUGGCAGAACAGAAAGGUAGAAAGAGAUUGAGUCCUGGGGAUGUGGCAGAGCCACCAUCCUAGCCCCGUACUGCGUACUUCUGGACUUCCUUUAAAUUGAGAGAAACAUGUUCCUACCAUAUUUAACCAUUUGGUGUUCUAAACCCCAUUCCUAGCUCUGGAAUGCCCUGGCAGAGCUGGUGCUGGCUGGGACCCCAGUGGUCCUUGGUGACCUUGCUCAGCAGUGCUCUUUCCACAAAUGACCCCACUACUAUCAUGUGCAGAACUAUCUUGGUGUGUGUGUGUGCAUGAGCAGACAUCCACAGCCAAGUAAUUUUCAAAGCUGUCAGCUCUGCUCUCCUGUAGCCUCCUGCUCCCCACUGCCUUCUCAUUUCCACCAGAGGAAGGUGAGGCUGCUGGUGAGGAGCUUUUUCCUUUUCCCUUUUCUGAAUUGUUUACUAUAUUAAACACUCAAUAUCCACUGCCCAGAAUAUUA
Molecule: long non-coding RNA, 735 nt
Organism: Homo sapiens (human)
Lineage: Eukaryota; Metazoa; Chordata; Mammalia; Primates; Hominidae
Source: Ensembl